This 419-nucleotide ribosomal RNA is filed under the name Salmonella enterica subsp. enterica serovar Typhimurium. Its description in RNAcentral is "partial 23S ribosomal RNA". It matches the Rfam family "Bacterial large subunit ribosomal RNA", at positions 2407 to 2824 of the family's 2925-position model. The record is from RNAcentral. Lineage: Bacteria; Pseudomonadati; Pseudomonadota; Gammaproteobacteria; Enterobacterales; Enterobacteriaceae.
AGGUCAUAGUGAUCCGGUGGUUCUGAAUGGAAGGGCCAUCGCUCAACGGAUAAAAGGUACUCCGGGGAUAACAGGCUGAUACCGCCCAAGAGUUCAUAUCGACGGCGGUGUUUGGCACCUCGAUGUCGGCUCAUCACAUCCUGGGGCUGAAGUAGGUCCCAAGGGUAUGGCUGUUCGCCAUUUAAAGUGGUACGCGAGCUGGGUUUAGAACGUCGUGAGACAGUUCGGUCCCUAUCUGCCGUGGGCGCUGGAGAACUGAGGGGGGCUGCUCCUAGUACGAGAGGACCGGAGUGGACGCAUCACUGGUGUUCGGGUUGUCAUGCCAAUGGCACUGCCCGGUAGCUAAAUGCGGAAGAGAUAAGUGCUGAAAGCAUCUAAGCACGAAACUUGCCCCGAGAUGAGUUCUCCCUGAGACUUAG